Molecule: ribosomal RNA, 114 nt
Filed under: Candidatus Peregrinibacteria bacterium CG10_big_fil_rev_8_21_14_0_10_36_19
Lineage: Bacteria; Candidatus Peregrinibacteriota
Source: RNAcentral
CUUGGCAGCUAUCGAGGUAGAGGUACACCUGUUCCCAUCCCGAACACAGAAGUUAAGUCUUCCAUCGCCGAUGAUACUGCGGCUCGACCGUGGCAAAGUAGGUCGCUGCCAAGA